This is a long non-coding RNA of Lates calcarifer (barramundi perch), 702 nucleotides long. RefSeq lists it as uncharacterized. NCBI's taxonomy places the organism in Eukaryota, Metazoa, Chordata, Actinopteri, Centropomidae. The record is from RefSeq and is a predicted model, not a curated record. The transcript is spliced from 6 exons.
UGUCCCCUCUCUCACCGCUGCUACUACCCCUGCUCUGAAGACGCACUCUCAAGUGCCCCCAGUUGACCCCGACCUCGGACUCAGCCGGCGAUGCAGCGCACGGUUGCCGUGGAGACAGGGUAACGUGGUAUCUUUGAACCUCAACACCAGUUACAUCAGUGGGGUUUUUACCACAUCUACUGGAAUCUGCAGGGUGUACAGAUAUUGGCCUGGGUAGCAAGAAGCAGAGAGGAUGCACAACCACUUUUGAACAACUGUUAACUAGCGAGCCUGUCGACGCAGUGCUGCUGAGCCGUCGCGUUGCUGCUCUCCUGUUCGUAGAUGGCAUCUCGUUCAGUCUGGGACAGGCUGAGGAACCGGCGGAUCAUGCACAGGUUCUCCCAGAGGGUCCUGUUCUCUGGACUGGGAUCCUCCUUCCAGCGCAGCAGCUCACAGAGCCAGCCCUACAGAGGAGGAAAACACCAGCCAACCCACUGAAUGCGGUCCCUCUCCACCUCAGGGAGCUGCAGGAAGCUGUACAUGGCCCGCAGGUUGACCAGCAGGGACUGGGAGGCGUGUUUGGGGUCCUCUUCCUUACGCAGGAUCUCAGAUAGCAGGCCCUGGUAAAGGCUUGAUUGAGAUCUCUCACCCUUGAAGCAUUUGGUCUUCUUGAAGUGCUUGUACCAUCGACCAAACUCGUGACACUUGGCAGCUGAGACAUUU